CCCCAUUCUUGUUGGCACUUCUUUGAGGGAGAUGAUGGAAUUUGAAGAGUUUGAAGCUUUUAUUAACUCUCCCUCUGUAAUCCUCAUAUUUCUUUUAUCUGAUGCAGCACUCAUUUAUGUAUGAAAAACUUACAGUUAUCCAGAAGAUAUUACUUUCUGACACCACAUUCCUGGAAAGAAGUGAUCAACGUGUUUAAGUAGGAUAGAAAAUUCCCACUAUAUACAUUCCUGCUAAGGGAGAUGGAAUUGUGAUUCCCACAACUAAGUGUCUGUGGCAGAGACAGAUUGCUGACUCAUGUCAACCUGCUUGAGCAGAACUGCAGAGACCAAGAUGACUGUUCCUCUUGAAGCUGCAGGUUCUUGUGGGCCCUGCACCCUCUGUGAACCUGCUGGUGAUGUUAUCUCCUCUGUCACAAGAACUGCUGUCCAUUCAUCAACUGCACCAGCAUCUGUAGCAUCAAGAUCUGUUAUUAUGCAGAAAACCAGUUUGUGGCCUAUAGGUCUGAGCAGCUCAGGGUAG
This 520-nucleotide long non-coding RNA is filed under the name Chrysolophus pictus (golden pheasant). RNAcentral's name for it is "lncRNA (ENSCPIG00010004747.1)". Lineage: Eukaryota; Metazoa; Chordata; Aves; Galliformes; Phasianidae. The record is from RNAcentral.